Molecule: ribosomal RNA, 467 nt
Filed under: uncultured bacterium
Lineage: Bacteria
Description: partial 16S ribosomal RNA
Rfam family: Bacterial small subunit ribosomal RNA
Source: RNAcentral
GACGAACGCUGGCGGCGUGCUUAACACAUGCAAGUCGAACGGAAAGGCCCUGCUUUUGUGGGGUGCUCGAGUGGCGAACGGGUGAGUAACACGUGAGUAACCUGCCCUUGACUUUGGGAUAACUUCAGGAAACUGGGGCUAAUACCGGAUAGGAGCUCCUGCUGCAUGGUGGGGGUUGGAAAGUUUCGGCGGUUGGGGAUGGACUCGCGGCUUAUCAGCUUGUUGGGUGGGUAGUGGCUUACCAGGGCUUUGACGGGUAGCCGGCCUGAGAGGGUGACCGGCUACAUUGGGACUGAGAUACGGCCCAGACUCCUACGGGAGGCAGCAGUGGGGAAUAUUGCACAAUGGGCGGAAGCCUGAUGCAGCAACGCCGCGUGCGGGAUGACGGCCUUCGGGUUGUAAACCGCUUUCGCCUGUGACGAAGCGUGAGUGACGGUAAUGGGUAAAGAAGCACCGGCUAACUACGU